GCUGGUGUGGCUCAGUGGUAGAGCAGCUGAUUCGUAAUCAGCAGGUCGCGGGUUCAAAUCCCGCCACCAGCUCCA
RNAcentral lists this transfer RNA (75 nucleotides) under Clostridia bacterium. RNAcentral describes it as "tRNA-Thr". It matches the Rfam family "tRNA". Rfam says of the family: Transfer RNA (tRNA) molecules are approximately 80 nucleotides in length. Their secondary structure includes four short double-helical elements and three loops (D, anti-codon, and T loops). Further hydrogen bonds mediate the characteristic L-shaped molecular structure. tRNAs have two regions of fundamental functional importance: the anti-codon, which is responsible for specific mRNA codon recognition, and the 3' end, to which the tRNAs corresponding amino acid is attached (by aminoacyl-tRNA synthetases). tRNAs cope with the degeneracy of the genetic code in two manners: having more than one tRNA (with a specific anti-codon) for a particular amino acid; and 'wobble' base-pairing, i.e. permitting non-standard base-pairing at the 3rd anti-codon position. The record is from RNAcentral. Lineage: Bacteria; Bacillati; Bacillota; Clostridia.